CCUACGGGAGGCAGCAGUGGGGAAUAUUGGGCAAUGGGCGCAAGCCUGACCCAGCAACGCCGCGUGAAGGAAGAAGGCUUUCGGGUUUGAAACUUCUUUUCUCAGGGACGAAGCAAGUGACGGUACCUGCGGAAUAAGCCACGGCUAACUACGUGCCAGCAGCCGCGGUAAUACGUAGGUGGCAAGAGUUAUCCGGAUUUACUGGGUGUAAAGGGCGUGUAGGCGGGACUGCAAGUCAGAUGUGAAAACCACGGGCUCAACCUGUGGCCUGCAUUUGAAACUGUCGUUCUUGAGUGGUGGAGAGGCAGGCGGAAUUCCGAGUGUAGCGGUGAAAUGCGUAGAUAUUAGGAGGAACACCGGUGGCGAAGGCGGUCUGCUGGACAGCAACUGACGCUGAGGCGCGAAAGCGUGGGGAGCAAACAGGAUUAGAUACCCGAGUAGUC
RNAcentral lists this ribosomal RNA (443 nucleotides) under uncultured bacterium. RNAcentral describes it as "partial 16S ribosomal RNA". It matches the Rfam family "Bacterial small subunit ribosomal RNA", at positions 338 to 795 of the family's 1533-position model. The record is from RNAcentral.